RNAcentral lists this ribosomal RNA (1325 nucleotides) under metagenome. Its description in RNAcentral is "bacterial LSU rRNA". It matches the Rfam family "Bacterial large subunit ribosomal RNA", at positions 1610 to 2925 of the family's 2925-position model. The record is from RNAcentral.
CAGAAAAGCCUCUAAGCUUCAGUUUAACAGGACCGUACCGCAAACCGACACAGGUGGGCGAGACGAGUAUUCUAAGGCGCUUGAGAGAACUCGGGAGAAGGAACUCGGCAAAUUGGUACCGUAACUUCGGGAUAAGGUACGCCCCUGUAGCCUGACUGGCCUGCGCCAGAAGGGUGAAGGGGUUGCAAUAAACUGGUGGCUGCGACUGUUUAAUAAAAACACAGCACUCUGCAAACACGAAAGUGGACGUAUAGGGUGUGACGCCUGCCCGGUGCCGGAAGAUUAAAUGAUGGGGUGCAAGCUCUUGAUUGAAGUCCCGGUAAACGGCGGCCGUAACAAUAACGGUCCUAAGGUAGCGAAAUUCCUUGUCGGGUAAGUUCCGACCUGCACGAAUGGCGUAACGAUGGCCACACUGUCUCCUCCCGAGACUCAGCGAAGUUGAAGUGUUUGUGAUGAUGCAAUCUCCCCGCGGCUAGACGGAAAGACCCCAUGAACCUUUACUGUAGCUUUGCAUUGGACUUUGAACCGGUCUGUGUAGGAUAGGUGGGAGGCUUUGAAGCGUGGACGCCAGUCUGCGUGGAGCCACCCUUGUAAUACCACCCUGGUUUGUUUGAGGUUCUAACCUUGGUCCGUAAUCCGGAUCGGGGACAGUGCAUGGUAGGCAGUUUGACUGGGGCGGUCUCCUCCCAAAGUGUAACGGAGGAGUACGAAGGUACGCUAGGUACGGUCGGAAAUCGUGCUGAUAGUGCAAUGGCAUAAGCGUGCUUAACUGCGAGACCGACAAGUCGAGCAGGUGCGAAAGCAGGUCAUAGUGAUCCGGUGGUUCUGUAUGGAAGGGCCAUCGCUCAACGGAUAAAAGGUACUCUGGGGAUAACAGGCUGAUACCGCCCAAGAGUUCAUAUCGACGGCGGUGUUUGGCACCUCGAUGUCGGCUCAUCUCAUCCUGGGGCUGUAGCCGGUCCCAAGGGUAUGGCUGUUCGCCAUUUAAAGAGGUACGUGAGCUGGGUUUAAAACGUCGUGAGACAGUUUGGUCCCUAUCUGCCGUGGGCGCUGGAUAUUUGAAGGGGGCUGCUCCUAGUACGAGAGGACCGGAGUGGACGAACCUCUGGUGUACCGGUUGUCACGCCAGUGGCAUCGCCGGGUAGCUAUGUUCGGAAGAGAUAACCGUUGAAAGCAUCUAAGCGGGAAACUCGCCUUAAGAUGAGAUAUCCCCGGGGCUUCGAGCCCCUUGAAGGGUCGUUCGAGACCAGGACGUUGAUAGGUCAGGUGUGGAAGCGCAGUAAUGCGUUAAGCUAACUGAUACUAAUUGCCCGUAAGGCUUGACU